CAAUACAUGCUGACGAGCGGCGAACGGGUGAGUAAUACUUUGGAAUCUUCCCAGUAGUGGGGAAUAACCAGUCGAAAGAUUGGCUAAUACCGCAUACGUCUGAAAAGGGAAAGCGGGGGAUCGCAAGACCUCGCGCUAUUGGAUGAGCCAAAGUCGGAUUAGCUAGUUGGUGGGGUAAUGGCCUACCAAGGCGACAAUCCGUAGCUGGUCUGAGAGGACGACCAGCCACACCGGAACUGAGACACGGUCCGGACUCCUACGGGAGGCAGCAGUGGGGAAUAUUGGACAAUGGGGGAAACCCUGAUCCAGCGACGCCGCGUGUGUGAAGAAGGCCUGCGGGUUGUAAAGCACUUUUAGUGGGGACAAAAAGCCAUUGACGAAUACUCGAUGGUCUUGAUUUAACCCAAAGAAAAAGCACCGGCUAACUCUGUGCCAGCAGCCGCGGUAAUACAGAGGGUGCGA
RNAcentral lists this ribosomal RNA (462 nucleotides) under uncultured bacterium. RNAcentral's name for it is "bacterial SSU rRNA". It matches the Rfam family "Bacterial small subunit ribosomal RNA", at positions 79 to 537 of the family's 1533-position model. The record is from RNAcentral.